UGCUUCCCUUCAAUAGACUCCACAGUCUCCGGAAGCAGGGCUGGGGAAGAAACGGCAAACCAGGGAUCUUACCUGGGCCUUCCCAGUUGAGACUAAGUCAAAAUGGGUUCCCGUGAGUCUGCCUGGCUCAUGCAGAUGGAAGGCUAACCUCUUUUUAGAAACAACUCGUGCUACCCUCUCCUGUUUCAAAAGAGCUGUCUGGUCAGAAUGGUGGUAAGUUACCUUAGGAAGGGAGAGGCGUCGUCCUGUUUGUCAAAGUUAGCAAAGGUUCAAUUUAAAAGAAAAAUUCUCUAAGAAGUUAAAAAUAAAAGUGUGGGGAGAUUCCCAUGACAUCCAUUUUUAUCUAUUUUUCCCUUUCUCUUACAUUUCCCAAGAGGCAAACUUUCUAAAACAGUCUUAGUCUUUUCAAGUUUACAAAAGGCAGCACCCAGACUCUCUGAAUAAAAUGAUAGGGCGCCCGGGAGAAGGCUGCACCUCUUCCACGUGCACCCUGCCUGGCUCCAUGCUGUCGCGGGGUCUAGCUACUCACUCAGCGGGCAUUUUGGGAGUUCCAGGAACACAAACCCCAACAAGAUCCAAUCCAUGCCUUCCCGGAGUGCACAGUCCAGGACGUAACCCGGCGAACAAGCGGCAAUUACCCCCUGAGGACAUGGCUUCAUCCCCUGAGGACAUGGCUUCAUCCGUGCGACAGAUACCAAGCGCCUUCCCUACGCCCGUGACCAUAAGGUCGUCCCGGCCCUCCUGACGCGUGAAGCCGGCUUGGAACAGAGCCAAGACACACGGACGCGAUGCACACAGGCGUCCUGACGGAGGGCACCGAGAACUCGGCCUCGGCGACUGCCACAGGCCCCUCCGCCUGGACUAGCGGCUCCCCUUCCCCGCCCCCACACAGCGGAGGGCGCAGCAAACGCCCACCGCGGACUGUGGGCCUUGGAUUCGGAUUCGGAGGCGCCUUGGAUUCGGAUUCGGAGGCUCCUCGGAACGAGGGGGUGGGAGCAGGCGGAAUCCAACCCGGGCGGCUUUGCCACCACGCGCCCGGCCUCCCCGCCACAGGGAAGCGGCGCCAUCUCCGCAGGUGCGCGGUGGACGCCUGCAUCCCUCGGGCCCGGGGCUGUCGGGCGCUACACAUCCACCUCCUUGACUUGGCCUGGGCCGUGCCAAGUCUCGGCAGGGUUGAGCUUCCCCGUGCGGCGCGGGCUCCGGCACUGCCCGCAGUGCGGGACACGCCCAAGGCUCGGAUGGGAGCCGACGCUGCGGGAGCGGCACCUGCAGGGAGCGCCGGGAGCCGAGGCCGCGGAGGGAGGGGCGGGCGCGGCCGGCGGGGAUGCGGGGUCGCGGGAGGGGCCCGCAGGCCAGGCCAGAGCUGGGGGCGGCCCGAGGCCCAAGCUGGCCAGCUAGGGUGGGUAGGGCGGACCCGGGUGGGGACCGCAAGCCCCGGGAACAAGUGCGGGAGCGGCGGGUCCCGGCGGCACUCACCGAGCCUGGGCGCCGGGGCGGCGGCGGCCGGCGCGCGGCCCUCUCGCGGGGUCCCCUCCCUCGGCCACCCGGGCUCUGCUCCAGCCUCGCAGUGGCGGAAGCACUGACAGCUGCGUGGCUGCCCUGGAGGGGAGGGGGCGCCUGCGACCCGCGACUGGCGGACGCACCGGCCGUUCCGGCUCCAGCAGGGGGCGCGGCGGCUCGCGCGUGCGCAGUCGGCCGCCCCUGCAGGUGCCCGGUCCACCCCCGGCCGCCUCGGCCGCUCCGGCCAGCCCAACCCCGCGCCUGCGCAGUGCCCCGUGCAUCUCGCCCUUGCCCAGCAGAGGGCGCGCUGUCUUGCGCGUGCGCAGUCGGCCACCUUGAGAGGACGCGGUUCGCACCCGGCCGCGCGGCAGCCGGUGACUGCGCCUAUGUCCAGAAGGAGGCGCGCAGCGGCGGUAGCCGAGCGAGGGCGCGGCGCUCUGACAGGAAUGGCUGUGCGCACAUGCGGUUCACAGCGGUAGAAAUCUUCACACCUGGAAAUUAGACUUUGGCCCUUUCUCCAUUUCUCCUUAUGCCCUGUCUUUCCUUGGGCCCUCGUCACUCCUGGCACCGAGGGAAGCGCUUCCCCGCCUCUGGCCGGGCGCUGAGGCACGACCGAAAGCGAGGCGGCGGCGAGGAACCUUCUGGAAUUCGGCCGUCGGGGCAGGCGUCGAGUUUACAGGAAAAGACGCAGUGUCCCGGGAUGAGCGGAGUCGCCCUCAGUUGAGGAGCGAGGGAGGCUUCGGGGGUCGCCAGCCGGUUUUAGGCUAUUCUUCAGUGCCUUUGUUUGAACAUUAUAUAAUUGAUGAUCCCAAAGCUUUCUAUAUAUUGGAAUUGUUUUUGACCAUAGCAUCAAUAACAGCAAUGGAUCUUUGCCACUUGCGGUUAAUUAUAAAUUGCGCUUCAGUUACUUUCAGAAGAAUUUUAUACUGGGGAAGAAUAUAUUUUUUCAAGAUGACAAAGAAGGCUGGUGCACAUCCUUUCUUUACCCUCUGAAUCCAUGCCAAGAACUCUGGGAAUUUCCAUUUGCUGAUGGGGGAAGUCCUGGUGAGAAAGCCCCGAAGCCUGUUCAUGUUAAGAGCAUGGCUGUGGCUGGACGUGGUGGCUCACACCUGUAAUCCCAGCACUUUAGGAGGCUGAGGCAGGUGGAUUACCUGAGGCUGGGAGUUCGAGACCAGCCUUACCAACUGGUCUUACCAACAGCCUUACCAAGAUGGAGAAACUCCGUCUCUACUAAAAAUACAAAAUUA
Chlorocebus sabaeus (green monkey) is the source of this 2747-nucleotide non-coding RNA. The record is from RefSeq and is a predicted model, not a curated record. Lineage: Eukaryota; Metazoa; Chordata; Mammalia; Primates; Cercopithecidae.